RNAcentral lists this ribosomal RNA (253 nucleotides) under uncultured bacterium. RNAcentral describes it as "partial 16S ribosomal RNA". It matches the Rfam family "Bacterial small subunit ribosomal RNA", at positions 524 to 776 of the family's 1533-position model. The record is from RNAcentral.
UACAGAGGGGGCAAGCGUUGUCCGGAAUUAUUGGGCGUAAAGAGCUCGUAGGCGGUUUGUCGCGUCUGCCGUGAAAGUCCGGGGCUCAACUCCGGAUCUGCGGUGGGUACGGGCAGACUAGAGUGAUGUAGGGGAGACUGGAAUUCCUGGUGUAGCGGUGAAAUGCGCAGAUAUCAGGAGGAACACCGAUGGCGAAGGCAGGUCUCUGGGCAUUAACUGACGCUGAGGAGCGAAAGCAUGGGGAGCGAACAGG